This 106-nucleotide ribosomal RNA is filed under the name uncultured bacterium. RNAcentral's name for it is "partial 16S ribosomal RNA". It matches the Rfam family "Bacterial small subunit ribosomal RNA", at positions 386 to 508 of the family's 1533-position model. The record is from RNAcentral.
ACGGAGCGACGCCGCGUGUGGGAAGAAAGGCCUUCGGGUCGUAAACCACUGUCGAAGGGGACUAUACUGAAGGUACCCUUGGAGGAAGCCCCGGCUAACUACGUGC